This 218-nucleotide ribosomal RNA is filed under the name uncultured fungus. Its description in RNAcentral is "partial small subunit ribosomal RNA". The stretch from base 95 to 218 matches the Rfam family "Eukaryotic small subunit ribosomal RNA", at positions 738 to 864 of the family's 1831-position model. Lineage: Eukaryota; Fungi. The record is from RNAcentral.
GGCGCGGUCGGGCGGUCCGCCGUUACGCGGCGUGUACUGCCUCGGUCGCGCCUUUCCUUCUGGGGAGCCGGUGUGCCCUUCGCUGGGUGUGCCGGGGAGCCAGGACCUUUACCUUGAAAAAAUUAGAGUGUUCAAAGCAGGCAUUUGCUCGGAUACAUUAGCAUGGAAUAAUAGAAUAGGACGUCGAUCCUAUUUUGUUGGUUUCUAGGACCGCCGUA